RNAcentral lists this small nuclear RNA (153 nucleotides) under Suricata suricatta (meerkat). RNAcentral describes it as "U2 spliceosomal RNA (ENSSSUG00005004841.1)". It matches the Rfam family "U2 spliceosomal RNA". From Rfam's summary of the family: U2 is a small nuclear RNA (snRNA) component of the spliceosome (involved in pre-mRNA splicing). Lineage: Eukaryota; Metazoa; Chordata; Mammalia; Carnivora; Herpestidae. The record is from Rfam by way of RNAcentral.
AUCGCUUCUCGGCCUUUUGGCUAAGAUCAAGUGUAGUAUCUCUUCUUAUCAGUUUAAAGGUAGUAAGGUAGACAUUACACUAAAGGGUAGGAUAGAUGGAUUCUGGUAAACAUCUGUAAGAGUGAAUCAAGUCACGUAGAUACCACAGUCUCU